AUGUCUUCUUGUUUUAUUUAAGAAGUCUGGCCUGCUCACUGAGAUAUUGAAGAGCUGCAGUAUUUUGACUGUACAAAGGUAGCACAAUCAUUAGUCUUUUAAUUGGGGACUGGUAUGAAAGGUUUGACAAAGCGUUAUUAUUUUAGUUUUAUAUUCUAAAGUUUUCUUUUAUGUUAAAAGACAUAAAUUAAAAUAAGGGACAAGAAGACCCUUUAAACUUAAUUUGUGCUUUAGUUUAUUAUUUUUGUUAAUAAAAUAGAAGCUGAUGAACAUUUUUAACUGGGGCGGCGAAUAUAAUUUAUCUAUAUUUUUUAUAAGUUUGACAAGAAUAUUUUAUUUGAUCCUCUAUUAAGGAUAAAGGAAAUAGUUACUGAAGGGAUAACAGCGUAAUGUUUUUGAGAGUUCUGAUUGAAUGAAAUGUUUGCGA
This 427-nucleotide ribosomal RNA is filed under the name Ommatoiulus sabulosus. RNAcentral's name for it is "partial 16S ribosomal RNA". Lineage: Eukaryota; Metazoa; Arthropoda; Diplopoda; Julida; Julidae. The record is from RNAcentral.